Molecule: non-coding RNA, 78 nt
Organism: Podarcis raffonei (Aeolian wall lizard)
Lineage: Eukaryota; Metazoa; Chordata; Lepidosauria; Squamata; Lacertidae
Source: the annotation of a RefSeq genome assembly
GUCCCUUAGGGAUAGCUCAGUCGGUAGAGCAUGAGACUGUUAAUCUCAGGGUCGUGGGUUUGAACCCCAUGUUGGACA